CCUGGCUCAGAUUGAACGCUGGCGGCAGGCCUAACACAUGCAAGUCGAGCGGAUGAGUGGAGCUUGCUCCAUGAUUCAGCGGCGGACGGGUGAGUAAUGCCUAGGAAUCUGCCUGGUAGUGGGGGACAACGUUUCGAAAGGAACGCUAAUACCGCAUACGUCCUACGGGAGAAAGCAGGGGACCUUCGGGCCUUGCGCUAUCAGAUGAGCCUAGGUCGGAUUAGCUAGUUGGUGAGGUAAAGGCUCACCAAGGCGACGAUCCGUAACUGGUCUGAGAGGAUGAUCAGUCACACUGGAACUGAGACACGGUCCAGACUCCUACGGGAGGCAGCAGUGGGGAAUAUUGGACAAUGGGCGAAAGCCUGAUCCAGCCAUGCCGCGUGUGUGAAGAAGGUCUUCGGAUUGUAAAGCACUUUAAGUUGGGAGGAAGGGCAGUAAGUUAAUACCUUGCUGUUUUGACGUUACCGACAGAAUAAGCACCGGCUAACUUCGUGCCAGCACCG
This 503-nucleotide ribosomal RNA is filed under the name uncultured Pseudomonas sp. Its description in RNAcentral is "bacterial SSU rRNA". It matches the Rfam family "Bacterial small subunit ribosomal RNA", at positions 18 to 516 of the family's 1533-position model. The record is from RNAcentral. Lineage: Bacteria; Pseudomonadati; Pseudomonadota; Gammaproteobacteria; Pseudomonadales; Pseudomonadaceae.